Non-coding RNA from Triticum urartu, 785 nucleotides. Lineage: Eukaryota; Viridiplantae; Streptophyta; Magnoliopsida; Poales; Poaceae. The record is from RefSeq and is a predicted model, not a curated record.
GUCAUUUCAUUUUUGCGAUUUGGUCCCAGGACCGACUCAGAACGCUCGCCUCCUCGCAUCCCUUCUUUCUUCCCUUCUCUCCUCGAUCAACUCGAGGCAGCGGCGGACGUGGUGACGGCUGAGCAUAGUGGGUGGCAGGGAUGAGAGCGGAGCCUCGCCAUCGGCGGCCCGGCGAAGCUGCAACACACUAUGGAUCUUUUGAUGACCUUUUCAUUGUCCAAAUACACCACAAAGAAUUUUUGUGUGGAACCGGUUGCAACAUGACUUAUAUGGACUAUGAAGUGGACUGUUUUGAUAAUGUGAUAGUGACACUUGGUCACUACUGUGGAUUGAUGAUUUUCUCAAGCAACUUGAUUAUGACAGAGCUGUGGACAAGCAUGAUGUUUAUUGGUGCCAGCCUGGAAAGUCAGUAGCUGAUGGACUGAAAGAGAUUGUUUGUGAUGCAGAUGUCUUGUUAAUGAUUUCAACAACAACUAAGCACAAGAAUUUGCUAUUGAUUGUUGACCAUGGUGAUACUUUGGAAACUCUGAUCAAAGAAGAUGUGCUUCUAGAUGGAGCUCCUGAGUUGCCCAGAGUUAUAACCCCCACAAAAGGCUGGAAGGGAAAAGAAGCUACUGUUAUGACCGACCAGGUCUAUGGCCGCCGGGGGCCCACUGGGCAGGCUUAAGGCCCAAGUUAUCUUAGUUUAUUUUCAGAUUUUGGUUAUAUAUACAAGUUGUAAGACUAUUUUGAGGAUUAAGCAAUAAGACUAUUCUAUUGCCCGGCUCCCAGAGGAGCCGGGACCC